AACCAAUAGGUUGUUGUUCAUAAAAGGGGUUUAUUGCAUAAAUGAGCUACCCCAUAUUUUUGUUAUUUAAUUUGGAGUUGAAAAACUAUUUUAUUUAAUUAGUUUUGAAGCCCUAAAGGCAUUAUAGGGCAAAGCUAUCUUUGUAUAUUUUAUUUUGAGGGAUUUAUGGUCCCAAAAGUUGAAUCAUAUUAUAAUAUGAUUUUAUAAAAUUUUCUAGAGUUGAUUUGAAUUGAUUUCGAGUUCAAAUUCAAAAGCUAGAAGAAAACAGAAAAAGAAAGGAUAAAAGAACAAAAAAAAAAGAGAAAACGGCCGGCCCGGCCAACAUGGGCUGAACCGGCCCAGCUUCACCCCACGCCUGAGUAGCCAGGCCGUAGCCCAGC
This 380-nucleotide long non-coding RNA is filed under the name Brachypodium distachyon (stiff brome). RNAcentral's name for it is "long non-coding RNA (BDIS_LNC002173)". Lineage: Eukaryota; Viridiplantae; Streptophyta; Magnoliopsida; Poales; Poaceae. The record is from RNAcentral.